RNAcentral lists this long non-coding RNA (21865 nucleotides) under Coffea arabica (coffee). RNAcentral's name for it is "long non-coding RNA (CARA_LNC002173)". The record is from RNAcentral. Lineage: Eukaryota; Viridiplantae; Streptophyta; Magnoliopsida; Gentianales; Rubiaceae.
UAUGCCAAGGUUUCAAGCAGAGAAUUUGGAGCACAACAAGAACUUGUACGAGCAGGUCAAUGCCAUUGCUUCAAGGAAGGGUUGUACUCCAUCACAGCUAGCAUUGGCCUGGGUCCAUCACCAAGGCAAUGAUGUUUGCCCCAUACCUGGCACUACCAAGAUUGAGAACCUCAAUCAUAAUAUAGGAGCUUUGUCUGUAAAACUGUCAGCAGAGGAAAUGGCGGAACUUGAAUCUAUUGCUUCUGCAGGAGUCAAGGGUGAUAGGUAUGGGCCUGGCAUUAGUACUUGGCAAACUUCUGAAACUCCACCUUUGUCAACCUGGAAGAGGACAUGAAGACAUAGCUUUGUUGUGGCAAUAAUUCCUUCUAGCUAUGUGCCUGAUGGUGGAUUUCACUAUAUUAAGAGUUGAAUGAUAUGUAUUUGUUCCAAUAAAUUUCAUCAUACUAUUGUCUCUAGGGUUAAGGCAAGUAAAGUUAUAAGAAGAAUGGAGUUUCUUCAGAGAAGUUGUAAUGAAUGAAGAUAUGGUCAUGUAAAAAAAGCAGAACAUAAUUUUCCUUGCAAUUGAAUGCGUUAAAUAUUAUCUAUUCUACUUCUGAAUGUUACUAGUAAUAAUUCACGUGAUUUGCACGCAAUUGUAACAUCUUGAAAUGUAUUAUUCUGUAGGUAUUAAAAGUUUUUAUGAAAUUUUGAUCAUCAACAUCAUAAUAUAGUAUUUUUAUGUUAUUUUUUUUAGCUAGUUAUUUUUAAAAAUUUUGUUAAAUGAAAAGAGACGGAAAACAUUCUAACAUAGUUUUCAUGUCCCUUAGGAUUCAAUUUGGAAUCAUGGUGCAAACACUUUUUGCGUUUUAGCUUGAAUUCUAACAUAUCAAAUAUUGAUAAUAUCAUGUUUUAUCAAAAUGAUUGUAUAUUCAUGAUUCUAUUGCAAAUUAUGAGUUAUAUUCUUAUGAGAUGAAAUGAUGUUAUGGACAAGUUACAUGAUUUACCAAGUUUCUCUGUGAACAUGUUCAUAUUAUGUUAUAUGUUUUAUGCCACUCAAUUUUCAAUGACAUCUGUAUAUGUAUUUAUGAAGCAAUGUCAAUAUUUUCAAACUGAGAUAUCCAUGCAAUUUUGUGUGAUCAAGUAUAUAACUACAUGAACCUGCAGGAGAGGUGUGAUGCUUACUCAGCAUACAUUGCUCAAUUCAUGUGUCCUUCAAGAAAGGAAAAUCGUUUACUUCUUAGGAAUUAAGAGUAAGAUAAAUAGACUGAUGAUCAAGUUCUAGAGAUUAUAGAAUAAGAUGUUUAACAGGUGCACAAAUAGAUUAGUAAUAAAGCUCCACGGAUUAUAGAAUAAGGUGUUUAACCGGUAUAUUAAAUUAAUAGUACGUGGUUUGUUUGAAUAGUGUUUUAUUUGACAAAUUUUAUUUAUUUGUAUUGUCAGCACAUUUUUCAACCACCUUCUCAUUUCAUAUAUAUCAUAUCAUCUAAAAAGUGUUAUAAUAUAUAUAUUUUUUACAAAAUUAUCUCAAAUAAUCUACUACUCCCUUCGUCCCAUUUUGAUAGUCAUGUAUUCCUUUUUCAUCUGUCCCAAAUUGUAGUCCACUUUCCAAUUGAACAAUAUAGUUGUAUUUUAAUUUUUCUAAAAUACCCUUAUUUAAUGUAAGUAGUUAUUACUAUAAACCUACCCCAUUUAAUGAGAAUUGAUUCUUUUUUUUACCAUCAAUUCAAGUUCCCAUAAAAUUGUACCAUAUUUAAUGUGAGGGUAUUUUAGGAAAAUAACAAUCUAAAUUUACUUUUUUAAUAAAGUUAAUUAUUUUUUCUUAAACUGUGCGAGAAAAGAAACAAGAUUAUCAAAAUGGGACGGACGGAGUAUUUAAACACGCUAGCGGUUUCGCAUGACGUUACAGACCCGGCCCAUGGUGGACUUUGGAUCUAUGGUUUCCGGAUUUGAGGCGUGACAGGAAUUGUCCAUAUGCUUAUAGAUCCAAAAGAUUAGCUCAAUCGAUGCACUGCCAGAAUCCUCCGUUGCAGGCUUCAGUAAUGUAUACGUGCACAUGGGCCUGCAUUAAUGGUCAACUGAAUUCCAACUCAAUACAUAAAAUGUCCAUUUAGUGGGCAAAUUUUUGUCUUCCUUUCAGGUAACAAGUGCACAAUUCAAUGCAAAUGUCAACUGAAUUUGAUACAAACUUACCGUUUAAUCACUAAUGUAAAUGCCAACGGAAUCUACAAGCCUACAAUUUAAAAUUAGUGUACCUCAAAAUCACAGCCAGCGAAUAUCACAUCGAUAUCAUUGAAACAACUACUGUGGAAAAAUCGCCCGUCCCGAGGAAUUUGAUAAUAAUUAUUGUACUUCCCUCGCCUAAUUUGGUAAAUUUGAUUUUUUUUUUCAUGCAGUUUAAAAAAAUUAAUUAAUCUUAUUUUUUUUUUCCCAAACGAAUUAAUCUUAUUGAAAGAGUAAAAAUCUAACUUAAUACUCCCUCCGUCCCACUUUGAUAGUCUUGUUUUCCUCUUUCGUCUGUCCCAAAUUGUAGUCCACUUUUUUCAUUAAGAAAUGUAGUAAUCUUUCAAAUUGUCUAAAAUACCCUUAUUAAAUAUCUUGUUAUUAAUACAUUGUUAUUAAAUACUAACCCACUAUAUUGAAUACAUUGAGCUUUUCCAAUACAUAGAUAACUGAUAUUUAUUGGCACCAUUAGCUGUAACUGAUAUUAAUUGGCACUUUGUGAUUAGCAUAAGGGUAUUUUAGGAAAUUAUUAAUCUAAAUUUAUGUUUUCAACCAAAUUAAUUACACUUUCUUAAUCUAUGUGAAAAAAAAAUUAAGACUAACAAAACGAGACGGAGGGAGUAUGUUUCUAAAAUAUCUUUACAUUAAAUGGAGCAUGACUAUUAGUUUUCUUUUUUUUUAAUCAGUUUGACAGACCAAAUUGACACCUAUAUAUAUAUAUAUAUAUAUAUAUAUAUAUAUAUAUCUAUUUUGUCAGACCAAUAUGAGAGUUUUUCAAUUUGAGGAACCAAUAAAAUUGUUAAAAAACUUGUAACAAAUAAACUUGACAAAAAACUUGCGUACCAAACAAGGCCUAAGAUGAUUUGCUACUUAGGAGAACCGCAUCGAAAUUUCCGAGUUGCUUAGUAGAAGUUUUUUUUUCUUAACAAUGAAUUUUGACAGAUUUAAUCAUGGCCAUUAAUUAAUCCUUCCCUAAUGCCACCAGAGCAGCCGGCCAUACUUCAUCCAUAAAAAGCCAUAUUCCUAAAGCACUAUUCACUUGCUAAAAAAAGUCAAUUCUGCUCCGUUCUACUGUUUAAACUUCCACUGUGUCUGUGUCUUUUGUCUGAAAAUGGCAGCGGCGGCAGCAGCAGCAGCAGCAGCAGCAGCAGUAGCAGAAGUGAAGGUGCCAAGAAUCAAGCUGGGCUCACAAGGUUGUGAAGUUUCAGCUCAAGGGCUGGGCUGCAUGGGCAUGUCAGCCUUCUACGGCCCGCCCAAGCCCGAGCCCGACAUGAUCAAGCUCAUCCACCAUGCUAUUAGCAGAGGUAUCACUCAUCUGGACACCUCCGAUGUCUAUGGACCUCACACUAACGAAAUACUCAUUGGAAAGGUACUAUAUUUGCCUUUUUAAAUUACUCUUGCUUAAGAGAAGUAGAUUUGUGACUUUAUAUUUAAGGUGAAUCACACUUAAGCCCAUGAAUAUAUAUGCUUCUCACUUAGCCCCCUCAAGUUUAUUUGUAUGUCCUUGAUAAUUAAUGGCAUGAAAGCGUGGUUUUAGGCUUUGAAGGAAGGAAUGAGAGAUAAUUAAUGGCAUGAAAGCGUGGUUUUAGGCUUUGAAGGAAGGAAUGAGAGCGAAAGUGGAGCUAGCAACGAAAUUUGCAGUCUCUUACGAGGAUGGAAAGUUUGACAUAUGCGGUGAUCCAGCCUAUGUGAGAGCUGCGUGUGAAGCCAGCUUGAAGCGGCUUGAUGUGGACUGCAUUGAUCUCUAUUAUCAACAUCGCAUCGAUACACGCGUGCCCAUUGAAGUCACGGUUUGCUCCAUUUUGACAAUUUGAUGUUCUUUGACAACUUUGACAAAGUACACAUCCAACUGAAAUCAGCACAUAUAUUGAUAAUAGAGAAAGUUCAUUUUGAUGUUCUUAACAAUUUCUUCACCAUUAUGGGCUACUGUACAUACUAAUCUUCAUCUCAGUAAAGCUGAUUUAGCACCAGGCAUCUCAAAAAGUAAAAAGAACCAACAUCAUCUCAAAAAGUAAAAAGAACCAACAUAUUUGUCUUGUAUAUGUGCACAGGUAUUUUAGCUUGCCAGCCCUGCUGAGGGAGGUACAGGUGGAUAUGAUGCCAUACAUUGUACGUAUUUCCUUUAGAACUAGAAGACCUGUGCAUUCCUUUCAUUUGAAAUAGACCACUCAGUUGAGUAUUAUUAUUUAGAAACAGUCAACAAUGUCAUUAUUGAUGUUACAGGAGCAUUGUGUUCGCAUGGUCCAAUAGAGCCAAGUCAACUGGUGGGAUUAAUAACAAUAUCAUCUUGAGAAGUUCAAUUGGCUGCGUAUUGCACUUUUUCCAAGUGAUGAUUUCAGUUGGAUGUAUACUUUGUCAAAGUUGUUCGCUGCACUGAAUUAGUGUUACUUUUACUCUAUGCUUGUAUAAUUUCAACUGUCUGCCUUAGUAUGGAAAAAGAUAAACCAGCUUAGCAUUUUCUUGUUUGUCGUUGUAUUCUCAAUUUUUCUAGAUUGGAGAACUUAAAAAACUGGUUGAAGAGGGUAAAAUAAAGUAUAUAGGUCUAUCCGAGGCCUCUGCUUCAACAAUUAGAAGAGCACAUGCUGUUCAUCCAAUAACAGCUAUACAGUUGGAGUGGUCAUUGUGGAGCAGAGAUGUCGAGGAAGAGAUCAUUCCCACUUGCAGGUAGUGCAUUUAUUCUUCUUCAUGUUCUACAUGGUCUAGAAGGAAACAUGUUCUGAAUUCACUUUUGGUGUAAUCUUUUAGAGAGCUUGGCAUAGGGAUUGUUGCAUACAGUCCACUCGGACAAGGAUUCUUCUCUUCAGGUCCAAAGCUGAUUGAGAAUUUGACUGAAGGUGACUUCCGAAAGGUUUGUGCAUAUCCAAAAAGAUAAGUAGUUUUUGGUGAAGUAUGUGUACAGUUGGUAUAUGCGAGUUUCUUAGUCGUCAACUUUUACCACAUUCAGUCGCAGUCAUUGCUCAAUAUCCCUAUUCUUUUCUAUCUGUUAUAUGUUGCUGCAUUUUUUGAUACCCAAGCCUGAGCUUUUUCUAAAAUGAUCAAAUUUAAUGAAUUUUUUGGUCAACUGUGACGCAACAAGGUUUUCUAUCUGACAAGUCUUGUAGUCUUGAAUUCCAAUAAAUGCAAUUUUUGGUAUUGGUAUAAACUGAACCUUUUGUACAUACAGGAUAGGAAUUGUGUGCUUUCUAUAUAUUUUGAAUUUUUUUAAAAGAAAAAGAUGGCACUAGCAUUGUCAAACUUUUAGAUAUUUUCUUGAAAGAAGGUUUUCCUUGCAUGCUGGAAAAUUAUAAAAGGACAGAGCAAUGGGUAAUGUUCUAUUUUGCAGUGCGCGAACGUCCUGGACAUGAAAACAGGAAGAAACUAUGGCAUCUUUAAGGAAACGGUUAUUUACAAUAUUGAGGGAAAGUGGACCUUAGGUUUCAAGCUCGUUGUUUGGUCUCGAGCUGUUGUUUUUCCUUUUUGGUUAAUCCUUUAACCUAGUUUCAUUGGUCAUUAGUUCACUUCCUAGUAGUAGUGCCAUCUCCAUCGUUCAAAAAUAUAGUUGAUUUCUAGUUUGACCUUCCUCUUUUAUGGAAUUGCAUCUCAGAAUCUACCUUCUACAAUUGAUGUCUCCCACCUGGAGUACUCUGUCCGGCCACCUUACUGCAUUGUUCAUUCCGCCGCACUUGUACACUUCAAACAAUAUUUCCAAUUAUUCUGAUAUAAUUUUAAGGAUUAAUCUUUGUUAUACUGACAGUGUAUGCAUCAUUAGCGUUGGAUGAACGACAAUCAUGCAAAAUUUAAAAUUGAAAUUCAACUUAAGCAUAUAUGUCAUGAAUUCAAUGAUGAUAGUGCAUACACUAUUAGUGUAUAUAAAAUUUACUCUAAUUUACUCUAAUUUUAAUUGUCUGUGUGGGCUGCUCCUUUUGUGCGCUUUAACCCCUCCAGAUUCUGGUUUUACAGUUGCUUAACAUUGAAAUUCACACAAUGCAGUAUUUGCCAAGGUUUCAAGCAGAGAAUUUGGAGCACAACAAGAAGUUGUAUGAGCGUGUCAAUGCCAUUGCUUCAAGGAAGGGUUGUACUCCAUCACAGCUAGCAUUGGCCUGGGUCCAUCACCAAGGCAAUGAUGUUUGCCCCAUACCCGGCACUACCAAGAUUCAGAACCUCAAUCAGAAUAUAGGAGCUUUAUCCGUAAAACUGUCCGCAGAGGAUAAGGCGGAACUCGAAUCUAUUGCUUCGGCUGGAGUCAAGGGUGAGAGAUGCGGGCCUGAAAUUAGCACUUGGCAAAAUUCUGAAACUCCACCUUUGUCAACCUGGAAGUGCACAUGAAGAUGUAACCAUAUUAUGGUAAAAAUAAUUCCUUUCAGCUAUCUGCCUGAUGGUGGAUUUUACUGUGUUGAAGGUUAAGUUGCAUUUAUUCCAACAGCCUGUAAUCUUCGUCGUACUAUUUUCUCGACUGUUGACGUUGUAAUGAGAAAAGAUUUGUAUCAUAUAAGAUGACUGCUUGGUCUUUUACGUAGAAGAAAAGGCAAAACACAAUUUUCCAUGUAGUUGAAUCCAUUUUUUUGAGCAACUUUUAACUUCCUAUUGAUCAAGCAUGAAAGAGUAUAGUAUCUCACAAAACUAAAUUAAAGAAAGUCAUCAGCUAAACCAUAUCCAUCAGCUAAAACAACUAUGUGGCAGCCAAAGUUCCAUAGCUAGCUCCCAAUUAUCGUCCUUGGACAGUGGAACCUUACUCCAACCUGCUACUACAUCUCAGACAGCAGAGAGAGUUGAAUGCACAAUAGCUACAGUAGUCAUAGAGGUUUGGCAAAAUGAAGCUUGGUUCCCAGCGCUCCAUAGGUGAUAAAUUUUGCCGCACUAAAAUCCAGCCUCUUCACAGCAGAUUUUACUGAAAAUUUUGGACAAAUUACACUUUAUCCCCCUGUCGUUUUGUAUUUUUCUACAUAACCCCCCUAUGAUUUUAAAAGUUAUACAUAAUCCUCUCACAAUUUGGAUUAAAGUGUCAAAGUAGCGAAAAUAAUCAUUCAUAACAGAGUCACCUAAAAUGUCAAAACUACCUUUAUGCAAAGUUAAAAAUUAUUUAUUAACCAAGGGAGAUUAUGUGUACAUUUUGAAAAUCAUAAGGGGAUUAUAUGGUAAAACAUUAAACUAUAAUAGGGUUAUAUGCUAAAACAUAAAUCAUACGGAGUUAAUGUAUCAUGUAUUUAUAAGAGUAAUUUCGACAUUUUUUAAAGAUUAUGUUACGAAUGAUCAUUUCCGUCACUUUGACACUUUAAUUCAAACCGUGAGAGGGUUAUGUAUAGCUUUUGAAAUCAUAUGGAGAGUUAUGUAAAAAAAUACUAAAUUCCAGAAGGGUAAAGUGUAAUUUGCCCGAAAAUUUUCUAGUAGCAUUUCCAGUCCAAUAUGCCUCAUCUUUACGCUGGACUUGAAGCCAUAAGUGCAGGCAUUGUAUCUCUUAAUCUCUUGACUUCUUUUGUCAGCCUCCUACCCUAAGGCCAUUGACCGGUUGUUAGCCUGUACAAUAAUAAAAACCUGCUCAACUAAAGUUAAGUUUUGUAAAUAGUGGUAAGUAAGGUCGAAUCCACAGGGAUUGGGAGUAAUUGUUUCUUUCCAAAUUCACAGUAAUAAGGGGGUGUUUUUGUGCAGAUGGUGACAAUCAAAGAAAUUCAAAUAAAAUCUAAGAAACUACUAAAAAUUAAAUAACAAAUUACUAAAAUCAAAUUAAUGAUAAUUAAGGAUCUAGCCAAGGAAUAACUUCAGCCAUGGUUCACCUAAUUGAUCAUCGAUGCAAAGCCAAUUCCAAUUAUUUACCAAUAAAUAGGUUAUAACUGCCAAACAAGCGAUGACAGUCAACCCGUCCUUACUGUGUCGGUGAUUAAUGUACGCCCGUUAAUCACUGCCCUAAUUGAGAAAUAAUUCUAGGUACGCUCAUAAGAUUUAAUUCCCCAAUUGCCUUACGUAUUAGGGGAACUCUAUUCUAACCAAAUAACGCACUACCAGGCUUAUUUCAUAUUAGCUCGCAUAUCCCCCUGACACAAAUCCAAUCAUGCCAGCAGUCACUAUUUCAAGGCAAUUAAACAAUUACGAAUUUAAUACCCUAAUUGACAAUAGAUUACCAAAUUAACUAAUUAUCCGGAUCCAAAAUAAUCAAUUAAUUAAAUAAUCAUGAACACUGCAAUCAAGGGAUAUGCGAAUACCAAUAAAUAAAAGAAAAAAAUAAAAUUAAAUCGAUCUCACAAGUUUUAGGCGAAUCAAAGCCUCCGUUGUCCCUUGACUAGACAAAGAGAUUUAACUCAUCCCUUAUCUACUCCUACGGAAGAGCAACUAAAGACGAAAAGAAAAGUCAACAUCAUCCAAUUUGAUUGUGACCUCCGUAGGCAAGAACCACAAAAAGAUGAUAAAUGGAGAAAAUCAAAGUCUAGCCUACCAAAAGUCUCCACUAAAAGACGAAGAAGAUCGAAAGGUCAAAAGAAAAGCUAAUCUAUUCUAGUGCUUCCUCUCCUGUGCGGCGGCUCCCCAGGAAAAAUAGAAGCCUCUGCCGUGCUCUCUUCUUUUGAAAUUAUCAAAAUGGGCAAAAGUCUUCCCUUGCCAACGAUGCCUCUGGGAUAAACUCUGUUAUUUGGGCUCUUUUCUUGUUAAAUUGGCACUUGUUAUCAUAUUUUUGUUCUACUUCCUGAAAUAAGUGCAAAAUACUAAAAGUGGGUAGAAUCUAACAAUUACUCCACAUCGGGUCAGGUAAUAAGGGAAAUUAAUUAUAAAAUAAAUGAUAAAAUUGCAACCUAUCAGCCAUUCCCAACAAUCCCCUUAUAUGCAUUGUGCUACAAAGUCAAUUUUGAUAAGGCCAAAAUUGUGUAAGAGAUUUAUGUUACAAGUGCUUUUCUGCAAUUUGGUACUUUACCAUAUAAUUUCUAUCAGCUAUGAACUAUAUACUAAGCUGAUUCUAUGAUUCCUCAUUUGGACUCUAUAAAACAGGCCAAUAGCCUCUAAGAGUUGGUAAAAGGUCUUCAACAGAUGAAGUUGAGUAGCUAAAAAAUUUCUAAUAAUUGCAUGCCAAAACUAAUUAAUACUUCAUCUGCUUCUCCACGAUAAUAACAAGUCACCACUCCUCAAUUAUUUCGAUUUUUUCUUCGGCACUUGUAAAAAGAUUAAAAGAAAAUGAUAAAGAUGUUAAUAAUUGGUAUAACUAAUUGUAUCAGAAAAAAAUAUAUUUUUGCGAAGCAUCAUAAAUAGUAAAUGGCUGGUGCAUAUCCGAUAUGAAUUCAAGUAAAAUAUAUAUUUUGGAUCCUGGUUGAGUUGUGUGUAAUUCAGUGCUACAUCGCACAUGUGGAUGUAUCCACAGGCUGAUAUGGAAAAUAUUCGUGAUCUCUAAAAGUCAACGCUGCUUAUAUACAAUAUCCUGGACAAAUUUCUUCAGAAUAUGGGAAAUUUGUGAACGUGACAAGAUUAGAUGCCCAAUUAAUGAAGAGGGCAUGAUUUUAAAUUGUUUAUUAUAAAUGGCUUUUUCACUGCUUUUGGCACGCAAAAAAAACUGAGAUUAAAUAAAAAAUCAAUUCAAGAAUACUGCUAGUAAUCAAGAAAACUAUUACUAAUCAAGAGUACAACUAGUAAUUAUUUCAAUUCUAAAUCCGUAAGGAGAGUUGGAGGUGUCGAUCACAAGUCAAUUAUAUUGACCUGUCCAAAUCCGUCAACUAAUAAACCACCCAAACCCAUCCAUUAAAUUUUAAAUGGGUCUAAAUGAAUACCAAAUUAUAUCCAUUUAAUUGCUAGAUAGUGGGUUAACUCAACUCACCCAUUUAUACCCAUUCAGAAAUAAUUAUACAUUUAAAUUCAAUUUUUAGUAAGUGUUAAGGAGAUAAAUUUGAAAUUCCUACCAAUCUAAUAACAAUAAAAUACCAUUAUUUAAUGUUAAAUAACAUGUGAAAUUUUUUUUAAAAAAUAAGUAAAAUUUCAAAUGAAUCAUAAAUGGGUAAUUGAGCUUACCCAACUCAUUUAUUUCAAUAGAUAUAAUGGGUUGACCCAAUUAUGACUCGUCCAAAUAACCUAUUUUGACACCUCUAAGGAGAGUAUCCACCAUAGAGUAAUAUAUUCUUCGCAACGCUAGCUUCAACAUGCUAUCAAAACCCUUGGCUUUUAGAAAAUUGCUUAAGAUAUUCGGAAUAGAAUUAUACAAUAUUCUAUAAACACACACUUUCGGUUAACAUGUUAGGUUGGAAUAAACUUGUGUAAAUACUUGAAGCCUGAAAAUUAAGUUAUCAAAUAAUCUUGUUCAAGUAAAGCUUGAUUUCUUUUGACCUCAAAAGGAUGGAUAACUCCAACGCCAAAGAUAUUGCAAAUCAUUCCACCAUAGUGAUCGUUUCAAAGAGCUCAAGGCUUUUGAUGAUGGCAAAGCUGGUGUGAAAGGCCUUGUUGAUGCAGGGAUUACUAAUCUUCCCAGAAUCUUCGUUCGGCCUCCUGAAGAGCUCAUCGAGGAGAAGAAUAUUGGCCAUCUCCAGGUACAAGUUCCAGUCAUAGAUCUCAGUGGCAUAUAAGAUGGAGAUAAAAGCAAUAGUAUAAUUGAUGAAAUAAGACAAGCAUCGGAGGAAUGGGGAUUUUUCCAAGUAAUCAAUCAUGGGAUUCCACAAAGCCUGUUGGAUGAAAUGAUUGAUGGAGUGCACAGGUUUCACGAGCAAGAUGCUGAGGUGAAAAAGCAAUACUAUUCUCGUGAUCUGCUGAGAAUGGUGAGAUAUUUUAGCAAAUCUCCACCUUGACUUGAAUCUUCUCAGAAACAGAUAUAACAGACGUACUGAUGAAGUGUCAGACGUACUCAAAGUCUUCUUUUACCAUCAGAAUUGUCUCUAAGUACCAUCAGAAUGCCCAUAAGGGCUAUCAGAAACUUAGGACAUUUAGCAAAUCCAAACAAUGUUUGAACUUGCUAUGAGGAACCGACUUGGUGAACAUAUCAGCAGGAUUGUCAGCAGUGCCAAUUUUCUUCACCUUGAUCCUUGUCUCAGAUCUCAAGAAGUGAUAUCGGACAUAAAUAUGUUUAGUGCUCUCAUGAUGAACUUGAUUCUUGACUAGACAUAUUGCACUGAGACUAUCACAAUAUAUAUUAGCCUGAUCCUGAUGUAGGCCAAGAUCUCCAACUAGCCCAUUUAACCAAAUUUUCUCUUUAACAGCCUCCGUCAGUACCAUAUACUCUACCUCAGUAGUGGACAGAGUCACUGUAAGUUGUAGAGUUACUUUCCAACUAACUACAGAUUGCCCAAGAGUAAAAACAUAACCAGUCAUCGACCUCCUACUAUCAACAUCUCCAGCAUAAUCAGAAUCUGAAUAGCCUGUAACCAAACACUCUGUAUCACCUCUAUAGAUGAGACCAACAUCAGAUGUACUCCUCAAGUACCGAAAAAUUCGCUUUAUGGCCAGCCAGUGCUCCUUCCCAGGAUUAGCCAUAAAUCUGCUAACAACACUGACUACAUGUGCCAGAUCAGAUCUAGUACAGACCAUGACAUACAUCAAACUACCCACUGCACUAGAAUAGGGAACUUUAGCCAUAUACUCUAUCUUGGCUUCUGACUGUGGUGUGAGUAUAACUGAUAGUUGAGCAUUCGGUGCACUCGAAGUAUUCAAGGGUUUUUCUGUAGACAUGCCAAAUCUGGAUAGUACCUUCUCAAUAUAACUCUUCUGUGAUAAGAAAAGUUUCUUCUGACUUCUAUCCCUGAAAAUCUCCAUUCCCAGAAUUUUUUGUGCUGCACUUAAGCCUUUCAUCUCAAACUCUGCACUGAGAAGACUUUUCAACUUUUGUAUAUCAGCUUUGUUCCUUGCAGCUAUGAGCAUAUCAUCUAUAUACAAAAUCAAGUAGAUCAUCGAACCAUUUUUAAGUUUGUUGUGAUAUACACAACAAUCAUACUGACUUCUACUGUAGCCGAGCUCAAUCAUGUAGCCGUCAAAUCUUUUGUACCACUGCCUUGGGGACUGCUUUAAUCCAUACAAGGAUUUCUUCAACUUGCAUACAUAAUCUUCUUUUCCCGGAAUAUGAAAUCCAUAUGGUUGAGUCAUAUAAAUCUCGUAAUCUAACUCUCCAUGUAGGAAAACUGUCUUCACGUCUAGCUGCUCAAGUUCUAAGUCCUGAUGUGCAACCAUUGCUAGUAGCACCCUGAUAGAAGUGUGUCUGACCACUGGUGAGAAAAUCUCAUUGUAGUCUACUCCUUCUCUUUAAGUGAACUCUCUUGCAACAACACGUGCUUAAUACUUGAUGCCCUCAGCUGGAGAAAUUCCUUCAUUCCUUUUAAAGACCCAUUUGCAAGUCACAACCUUUCUCUGCUGGCUGUUUGACUAAUUCCCAAGUGUCGUUCUUGUGUAACGACUUCAUUUCAUCACCCAUUGCAGCAAGCCAUUGAACUGACUCACUGCCUGAAAUAGUUUCUUUAUAGGUAGAGGGUUCAGGAGAAUCCACCUCCUCAACAACCUGAAAUGCAUAACCUACAAAAUCCCGAUACCUGCUGGGAGCUCGUACUCCCAUUCUCCUCGCACGAUCAUAAGCAAUACCGUGCUGCUGAGUUUCUGACACAGUAUGGGAUAUAGGUGCCAAUCUUUCUGCUGAUGUUAGUUCUGGAAACUCUACUUCUGCAGGAGGUUCAGUUUCAAAGGAUAGCUGUUGAUGAUCACCAAAUUGCUACUGUGAUUCAAAAUCAUUUUGAAUGAUUUGUAGCUCCACCUGUUUAUCAACACCUGCACUUUCUUCAACAACAGUCUUCACAGGGAGUUAAGUAUAUAGUUUUCAUAAAAAAUUACACUUCUGCUAAGUAUAACUUUCUAUUUUGAGGGUGACCAGAUUCUAUACCCUUUAACUCCGUCUCCAUAUCCCAGAGACACUCCUUUUUUAGCCCUUGGUUCUAGUUUGCCCUCACUGACAUGAUAAUAUGCAGUACAACCAAAAGCCUUCAAAUUUGAGUAAGUAGGGGACAUACCAGACCACACUUUAUAAGGUAUCUUGCAGUCUAUACCUGUAUGAGGUGCACGAAUGAUCAAGAAGCAGGUUGUGCUCACUGCUUCCGCCCAGAACCUCCUUGGCAACUCAGCAUUGAAGAGCAUACACCGUGCUCUCUCUAAAAGUGCCUGAUUCAUGCAUUCUGCUACACCGUUUUGUUGUGAUGUGUGUCGAACUGUGUGAUGCCGAGCAAUUCCUUCAUCUUUGCAGAACUCAUCAAACUCCUUUGAACAGAAUUCCAGACCAUUAUUAGUUCUCAGCCUUUUGAUCUUCUUUCCAGUUUGAUUCUCCACUAAGACCUUUCACUGUUUGAAGUUCUUGAAAGCUUCACCUUUUUGCUUCAUAACGAUUACCCAAGUCAUUCUUGAAUAAUCAUCAAUCAUGGAUAAAAAAUACCGACAGCCUCCCAAAGACUCAACUCGUGAUGGGCCCCAACAGUCAGAAUGGAUGUAAUCAAGUAUGCCUUUUGUCCUGUGAAUUGCCUUUCCAAACUUUCUGCAAUGUAGUUUACCGAAAGUACAAUGUUCACAGAAUCCAAAACCGAUGACCUUGUGGCCUUCUAGAAGAUUACGUUUAGACAGAAUCUGCAUCCCCCUUUCGCUCAUAUGACCAAGCCUAAUGUGCCACAACUUGGUCAUAUCAGACCUGCGAUCUUCAGAAGAUGCAACAGCAGCAGCGGCAGAACCUGUUAGCGUAGAACCCUGUAAAAUGUACGAGGUGUCAUGCUUAACUCCUUUGAAAACCACUAAUGAACCUUUACCGAUGCACAACUCUCCACUUCCUUCGCUGAACCUAAAACCCUUACUGUCAAGAGUACUAAGUGAUAUAAGAUUCUUCGUCAUUUUGGGGACGUGCUUGACUUCGUUCAGUGUGGCAAUUUUUCCAAUAUGUGUCCUGAUCUUAAUCGAACCGAUCCCAACAGCCUUGCAAACAGUGCUAUUAGCCAUCACGACAUUCCCGCCAUCUAUCUGCUCAUAUGUUGUAAACCAUUCCCUAUUUGGACAUAUGUGAUAGGACGCCCCAGAAUCAAGAAUCCACACAUCAGAGUGAUGUGUUGGUUCAUCUGCAAUUAGGGCAAGGUUUUCUUCUGAAUUUUUCGCUUCCUUUUCUGCAACUGAAGCUAAAGCAUGUUAUUUUUCCUGCUGCUUCUUCUUCUUGGGACAAUCAGAUUUCCAAUGACCCUUUUCCUUGCAGUAGUUACAGACAUCAUCCGGCUUGGGACCUUGAGAAAACUGCUUCUUGUUUCCGGACUGCUGACAACUAGCCCAACAGCCUGAUUAUCUGUAACAUUACCAGCCGCUUUAUGGAUCAACUCUCUACUAUGCAGUGUUGAUCUUAUUUCUUCUAAAAUCACUGUAUCUUUACCGCCAAUAAAGGACUGAACAAAAUUCUCAUACGAUAACGGUAGAGACACUAACAGAAUCAACGCGGCAUCCUCAUCCUCAAUUUUAACAUUAAUAUUAUGCAACUCAAGCAGAAUCGUAUUUAAUUGAUCUAAAUGUUCUCGAAGAGGAGUACCUUCCUGCAUACGCAGACCAAACAGACGUUGCUUUAAGAGCAACUUGUUGGUCAAAGACUUUGUCAUAUAGAGAUUUUCAAGUUUAACCCAUAAACCCGCAGCAGUUUCUUCACCGGCGACCUCAGUGAUGACAUCAUCUGCCAGGCACAGCAUGAUUGUCGAGUGAGCCUUUUCCUCCAGACUCAUCGACUCUUCAUCAACGGAAUCCGAUUUCUUCUUCAUCAGCGGACUCCACAGACCCUGUUGCUUUAACAGAGCCCGCAUCUUGAUCUACCACAGACUGAAACUAUUUCUCCCGGUGAACUUGUCGAUCUUGAUGUUCAAAAAAGACAUGUUGUUGCGUGAUCCGAGCCCUAGGACAAACCUAGAGCUCUGAUACCAGUUUGUUAAAAUCGAUGCAGCGGAACGGAAAGAACAAACAAGAACAAGGGGAAAUUAGAUUUUUUAUUAGGGUUCGGAAUGUAUCAGAUGUUAUUUGUACAGAAUGGAUAUAAGGUAUAUAUAUACAACCAAAAAACCAAAAGCGAGACCCCCAACGGGGGUCGAAGAUCUGAUUUAAGGCAUUUCAACAUAUCUGAUACAACUAUUCUCAAAUGAACUGCCUUCGUUAACCUAUUUACAAUCACACAAAUGGUGUUACUGCCUCGCCUAGGCCUGGGUAGCCCAAAAUUGACUCUUGCAUAUAUAUUCAACCAUCUUGGACCAUGUGACCUGCAUCAAAGAAAAGUAGUGUGAGGGUUAACAGUAAUUUAUCCUUAAAUUUACGUAAAAUACCUUCAAGUGAACCAGAUGGAUCUCUUAAUACAACGAACUAGUUCGUAUUUGAGUUUGUCAAAUCUUGAUCAGGAGUCAGGAAAAGAAUUAGUGCUUGGCUCUUAUUCAAAAUUUGGUACCUAACCAGCAGAUAUUUCUUCACUGAUGAACAAGAGUGGGAUUUUUUGUUUUCACUUGAUUAAUCUUAGUGCAUAUGUGGAACUAGGCAAGGCCCGUUUGGCACUAAAAUAAGCAUAUUCACAUGAGUCUGGAGGCCCUUCAUGCCCCUCUUCUCCUUUUCUAAGUAGAUCUAUUGAUUUUUUUCAUCUUGAAUACAUUACAUAAGUGGUUAGAACCUUUUAGCAUGGACAUACAUGUAAAUUGUGCCAGGUGAGUAUGCGACAAUGAAAAUUACAAUGAGUCCAUUAUAAGGAUAGCAUUAUUUGGAGGGGGAAAAAAAUCUACUUUAGCAUUUUUUUUUUUUUAAGAACAUGAGAGAUCACAAUGAAAUCUGGAUACCUGAGUGGACCCAGAACAAAAAUCAUACACAAAUAUUUUAUGUUAUGCAGUGCUUGCAAAAAAAAAUUGGGAUAAAUUAUCUUUUAUCCUUUUGUAGUUUGGUACUUUGCCACAUAAUUUCUCUUUCGUAUAGAGUAUUGGCAAAUUAAUCCGCUAUGAACUAUGUACACAAUUAGAGCACAUACAGUGAAAUAUCCAUGAGCAAAGUCCGUUUUCAUAUGUUUUCUACUAAAUUCAAAGCAUAAAGCAGUGCGCAUUUUUAAGUUACAGGGAGUUUAUCUUCAAGAGCACUUAACCAUAGGGGGUGUAUGAGGUAUUUGCCUGUAAAAAAAUAUCCAUGUGAUGUGUGAAAUGAGUUUAUAUUAUGAAAAUUUUUAAAUGACAAUGAAUUGGAUAGUAGGAGCCAUAGCCCUAUUGUGUUCAAGUAUAGUGAAUUCCAACAGUUUGUCCAACCUUUAACUCAUGUUUAUGUUAUGUUCAUGUGAUCCUUUGAUCGCCUUCUUAGACGGGGUUAAUUUCUAAAUUGAGUACUUAAAAGAUGGCUAUUACUUGAACUUGUUUAUAAGUUAUAUUCUUAUGAUAUGAAACGAUGUUAUGGACAUCUUACAUGAUUUACCAAUGCUGUGUUUGGAUUGAUCAUUUUUUCAAAAACAAGUUUUUCAAAUACAAUACACAAUAAUUCAAAAAACAUAUCAUCCAUCCAAUAUAUUAAAUAUUUCAAAAAAAUUUUAUAGUAAAAAUUUUUCGUACACACUACUACAGUAAACUUUUUUAAAAACACCCCUGAAAACAGUUAAUCCAAACGGAGCGCAAGUUUUUCUGUGAAUAUGUUCAUAUUAUGUUAUAUGUUUUAUGCCACUCAAUUUUCAAUGAAAUAUGUAUACGUAUUUAUGAAACAAUGUCAAUAUUUUCAAACUGAGAUAUUCAUGCAAUCUUGUGCGAUCAAGUAUAUAACUACAUGAUCCUGCACGAGAGGUGUGUUGCUUACUAAGCAUACAUUGCUCAAUCCAUGUGUCCUUCAAGAAAGGAAAAUCGUUUACGCCUUAGAAAACUAAGAGUAAAAUAAAUAGACUGAUGAUCAAUUUCUAGAGAUUAAAGAAUAAGGUGUUUGACUGGUGCACAAAUAGAUUGGUAAUAAAGCUCUAAGGAUUAUAGAAUAAGGUGUUUAACAUGUAUAUUAAAUUUUCAACCACUUUUUUAACUCACAUACAUCAUAUAAUCUAAAAAGUAUUACAGUAAAUUUAUUUUUUUUUACAAAAUUAUCUCAAAUAAUCUAUUAUCUAAACACGCUAAUGGUUUCACAGAUACAAUGUAUGACGUUACAGAUCCGACCUAUGGACUUGGUUUCUAUGGUUUCCGAUAGAGGUGGCAAUAUGGAUAAAUUGUUCAUAAUUGGUUUUGAUUUAAUGGAUGGUGAAUGAAAUUUAUCCAAUCCAUUUAGAUCCGUUUAAUAAAUGGAUCUAAAUGGAUUAAAUAAAAACUAAUUAUCCAUUUAUAAUUCAUUUAAAUAUUUUGGUUACUUUUUUUUGUAUUGCCAUCACAGACUAAGACAAGCAUCCUACAAUAUCUGCAUCGGCAUCGUGAAGAGUAGUCAUCAUAUGAAGAGCCACAAAGGAAGCAGCUGCCUAAAACAUUCGAAUCUAAGCUCCCAACAGUGGUAUUACACAGCUUACAAUUUUGGGGUUCAAUAGGAAAGAAGUUCGGAAGAAACGAAAAGGAAAAAGAAAAAAAAAAUCCAUCACUUCAAAAACCAUUCACCUUUAAUGUUUGUCCGAAAGUUACUGUUUGGUGAAUGUGUAGCUACAUUUGCCUGAAUGCCGGCCAUGGAUUUUGAAGAUGAGUAUUUAUAGAAAUGUCACAUGCAUAUUAGGUGUUUGUGAGAAUGAUUGUUUGAAAGAUGAGUAUUUGUAGUUGGGUUCUUUGCCUGGGAUUGAGUUGAAAAACAUGCAACAAGAAAUAUAUGGUUUUUAGUCAUUUCCUUUCUGUUUCUUUUAUUUGAUUUUUAAGUAAAUGGAUAUAUAUGGAUUUUGUAGAUAAUCCAUAUAAAUCUAUUUAAUUUAAUGAUUUUAUUUUGAUCAACCAUUUAAAACUAAUACUAUAAAUGAAUAAUUCAAAUCCAUUUAAUUAUGGAUUAUAUGGAUGGAUAAAUAGAUCUCAAUCCAUAUUAAUUACCACCUCUAGACUUUCCGGAUUUGAGGCGUGACAGGAUUUGUCCAUAUGCUUACAGAUCUAAAAGAUUAGCUCAAUCGAUACACUGCCAGAAUCCCUCCAUUGCAGGCUUAAGUUAUGUAUACGUGCACAUGGGCCUGCAUUAAUGGUCAACUGAAUUCCAACUCAAUACAUAUAAUAUUUUAGAGCGCAAAUGCACAAUUUUUUUUUGUUUUCCUUUCAGGUAACAAGUGUACAAUUCUAUAUAAUUGUCAACUGAAUUUGAUACAAACUUACCGUUUAAUCAUUAAUGUAAAUGCCAACGUAAUCUACAAGCCUACAAUUUAAAAUUAGUGCACAUCAAAAUCACAGCCAGCGAAUAUCACAUUGAUAUCAUUGAAACAAUUACUGUAGAAAAAUCGCCCUUCUUGGGGAAUUUCCUAAUAAUUAUUGUACUUUCUUCUUCUCAAUUUGGUAAAUUUGAUUUUUUUUCAGGCAGUUUAAAAAAAUUAAUUAACCUUGUUGGAAAAUAAAUCUAACUUACUAUAUUUCUAAAAUAUCCUUGCAUUAAAUAAAGUACGACUACUUAGCCUUCUUUUUUUAACGGACCAAAUUGAUAUAUAUAUAUAUAUAUAUAUAUAUAUAUAUAUAUAUAUAUAUUUUGUCGGACCAAUAUGAGAGUUUUUCAAUUUGAGGAACCAAAUUAAGAUGGUUUGCUACUUUGGAGAACCACAUCGAAAUUUCAGAGUUGCUUAGUAGAAGUUCUUUUCUUAACAAUGAUUUCUGACAUACUUAAUCAUGGCCAUUAAUUAAUCCUUCCCUAAUGCCACCAGAGCAGCCGGCCAUACUUCAUCCAUAAAAAGCCAUAUUCCUAAAGCACCAUGCACUUGCUAAAACAGUCAACUUUGCUCCGUCCUACUCUUUCCAUUUCCACUGUGUCAGUGUUUUUUGUCUGAAAAUGGAAGCGGCAGCAGCAGCAGCACCAGCAGAAGUGAAAGUGCCAAGAAUCAGGCUGGGCUCACAAGGUUGUGAAGUUUCAGCUCAAGGGCUGGGCUGCAUGGGCGUGUCAGCCUUCUACGGCCCGCCCAAGCCCGAGCCCGACAUGAUCAAGCUCAUCCACCAUGCUAUUAGCAGAGGUAUCACCCAUCUGGACACCGCCGAUGUCUAUGGACCUCACACUAACGAAAUACUCAUUGGUAAGGUACCAUAUUUGCCUUUUUAAAUUACUCUUGCUUAAGAGAAGUAGAUUUGUGACUUUAUAUUUAAGGUAAAUCACACUUAAGCCCAUGAAUAUAUAUGCUUCUCUCACUUAGCCCCCUCAAGUUUAUUUGUAUGUCCUACAUAAUUAAUGGCAUGAAAUCAUGGUUUUAGGCUUUGAAGGAAGGAAUGAGAGCAAAAGUGGAGCUAGCAACGAAAUUUGCAGUUUCUUACGAGGAUGGGAAAUUUGAUGUACGUGGUGAUCCAGCCUAUGUGAGGGCUUGUUGUGAAGCCAGCUUGAAGCGGCUUGAUGUGGACUGCAUUGAUCUCUAUUAUCAACAUCGCAUCGAUACACGCGUGCCCAUUGAAGUCACGGUUUGCUCCAUUUCUCUUUGUUCUUAUGUUCCACCACAUUCUUGAUAAAAUGAAAAGUUGAUCAACUUCAAAUUAAGGAGAAUAGUUCAUUUUGAUGUUCUUAACAAUUUCUUCACCAUUAUGGGCUACUGUACAUACUAAUCUUCAUUUCAGUAAAGCUGGUUUAGCACCAGGCAUCUCAAAAAGUAAAAUGAACCAACUUAAUUAUUUGUCUUAUAUAUACGUGCACAGGUAUUUUAGCUUUGCCAGCCCUGUUGAGGGAGGUACAGGUGGAUAUGAUGCCAUACAUUGUACAUAUUUCCUUUAGAACUAGAAGACCUGUGCAUUCCUUUCAUUUCAGUUGAGUAGUAUUAUUUAGAAACAGUCAACAAUGUCACUAUUGAUGCUACAGAAGCAUUGUGUUUGCAUGGUCCAAUAGAGCCAAGUGAACCAGUGGGGUUAAUAACAAUAUCAUCUUGAGAAGUACUAUUGGCUGCGUAUUACACUAUUACCAAGUGUUGAUUUCAGUCGGAUGUAUACUUUGUCAAAGUUGUUCGCUGCACUGAAUUAGUGUUACUUUUACUUUAUGCUUGUAUAAUUUCAAUUGUCUGCCUUAGUAUGGAAAAGAUAAACCAGCUUAGCAUUUUCUUGUUUGUUGUAUUCUCAAUUUUUCUAGAUAGGAGAACUUAAGAAACUGGUUGAAGAGGGUAAAAUAAAGUACAUAGGUCUAUCCGAGGCCUCAGCUUCAACAAUUAGAAGAGCACAUGCUGUUCAUCCAAUAACAGCUAUACAGUUGGAGUGGUCAUUGUGGACCAGAGACGUCGAGGAAGAGAUCAUUCCCACUUGCAGGUAGUGCAUUUAUUCUGCCUCAUUUUCUACAUGGUCUGGAAGAAAUAUGAAGCUCUAAGUUCAUUUUGUUGUAAUCUUUUAGAGAGCUUGGCAUAGGGAUUGUUGCAUACAGUCCACUCGGACAAGGAUUCUUCUCUUCAGGUCCAAAGCUGAUCGAGAAUUUGACUGAAGGUGACUUCCGAAAGGUUUGUGCAUAUCCAAAGAGAAUAGAAGUUUUUGGUGUAGUAUGUGUACAAUUGGUAGAUACGAGUUUCUUAGUCAUCAACUUUUUCCACAUUGAGCUGCAGUUUUUAUCAAUAUCCCAUUCUUUUCUAUCUGUUACAUGUUGCUGCACUUUUUGAUACCCAAGCCUGAGCUUUUUCUAAAAUGAUCAAAUUUAAUGAAUUUUUGGUCAACUGCGACGCAACAAGGUUUCCUAUCUGACAGGAUAGGAAUUGUGUUCUUUUUAUAUAGUUUGAAUUAAAAAAAAAAAAAAAAAAAAAAGAUGGCACUACCAUUGUCAAACUUUUAGAUAUUUUCUUAAAAGAAGGUUUUCCUUGCAUGCUGGAAAAUUAUAAAUGGACAGAGCAAUGGGUAAUGUUCUAUUUUGCAGUGCGCGAAAGUCCUGGACAUAAAAACAGGAAGAAACUAUGGCAUCUUUAAGGAAACGGUUAUUUACAAUAUUGAGCUGUUGUUUCCUUAGUCAUUAGUUUACUUCCUAGUAGUAGUGCCACCUCCAUGGUUCAAUAUAUAGUUGAUUUCUAGUUUGACCUUCGCCUUAUAUUUGUCUUAUAGUUGAUGUUUCCCACCUGGAGUACUCUUAACACCUUACUACAUUGUUCAUUUCUCUGCACUUGUACACUUCGAACAAUAUUUUCAAUUAUUCUGAUAUAAUUUAAGGAUUAAUCUUUACUACACUAGCAAUGUAUGCACCAUUAGUGUUGGAUAAACGAUAACUAUGCAAAAUUUAAAAUUGUAAUUCAACUUUAGCAUAUAUAUCAUGAAUAGUGUAUAUAAAAUUUACUCUAAUUUUAAUUGUCUGUGUUGGCUACUCCUUUUGUGUGCUUUAACCCCUCCAGAUUCUGGCUUUACAGUUGCUUAACAUUGAAAUUCACACAAUGCAGUAUUCGCCAAGGUUUCAAGCAGAUAAUUUGGAGCACAACAAGAAGUUGUAUGAGCGUGUCAAUGCCAUUGCUUCAAGGAAGGGUUGUACUCCAUCACAGCUAGCAUUGGCCUGGGUCCAUCACCAAGGAAAUGAUGUUUGCCCCAUACCCGGCACUACCAAGAUUCAGAACCUCAAUCAGAAUAUAGGAGCUUUAUCCGUAAAACUGUCCGCAGAGGAUAAGGCGGAACUCGAAUCUAUUGCUUCGGCUGGAGUCAAGGGUGAGAGACACGGGCCUCAA